CCCCAGGUCCGCAGGGCGAAAGCCCAUGAACUCCGCCAGGACCGCGCAGGUAGCAACGGUAAGUGUGGUGCUUGUUGCUGCGGGUAGCCUGGGGCAU
RNAcentral lists this signal recognition particle RNA (97 nucleotides) under Gemmatimonadales bacterium. RNAcentral's name for it is "signal recognition particle sRNA small type". It matches the Rfam family "Bacterial small signal recognition particle RNA". From Rfam's summary of the family: The signal recognition particle (SRP) is a universally conserved ribonucleoprotein involved in the co-translational targeting of proteins to membranes. Archaeal SRP consists of a 7S RNA and homologues of the eukaryotic SRP19 and SRP54 proteins. The record is from RNAcentral. Lineage: Bacteria; Pseudomonadati; Gemmatimonadota; Gemmatimonadia; Gemmatimonadales.